RNAcentral lists this ribosomal RNA (464 nucleotides) under uncultured bacterium. Its description in RNAcentral is "bacterial SSU rRNA". It matches the Rfam family "Bacterial small subunit ribosomal RNA", at positions 9 to 518 of the family's 1533-position model. The record is from RNAcentral.
AGGUUCGAUUCUGGCUCAGAACGAACGCUGGCGGCAUGCCUAACACAUGCAAGUCGAACGAGACCUUCGGGUCUAGUGGCGCACGGGUGCGUAACGCGUGGGAAUCUGCCCCUCGGUUGGGAAUAACACAGAGAAAUUUGUGCUAAUACCUUAUAAUGUCUUCGGACCAAAGAUUUAUCGCCGAGGGAUGAGCCCGCGUAGGAUUAGGUAGUUGGUGGGGUAAUGGCCUACCAAGCCGACGAUCCUUAGCUGGUCUGAGAGGAUGAUCAGCCACACUGGGACUGAGACACGGCCCAGACUCCUACGGGAGGCAGCAGUGGGGAAUAUUGGACAAUGGGCGAAAGCCUGAUCCCAGCAAUGCCGCGUGAGUGAUGAAGGCCUUAGGGUUGUAAAGCUCUUUUACCCGGGAUGAUAAUGACAGUACCGGGAGAAUAAGCUCCGGCUAACUCCGUGCCAGCCGCCGC